AUCCAAAGGACUUCUUAAGGUCAUUGAAAUUUUCUUAAAACACCCCUAAAGCAAGAUGUACAAGUCUUUUAAGCACACUAAAACCUCACUUUCCAAUAAUACCCUUUUGUCAAACAAAAAAAACACGUACACGAAUUAGGGUUUUACAUAUUCAUCUCAUUCCUAUCCGUCUCCAUCUCUCUCUCUUUCUCUCUCUUGCGGCGAUUCAGACGUUUGAUGAAGAUAUCACCAGAUUGGUUCAGAUUUUGUUAUCUUCGACUGCUAUUGUUGGUGGUUGUAUGGUUAAGUUGGCCAUUCCGACUACUCGACAACCCUAAGAUCUCUGUUCGUCGCUCUUCUUCAUUUGGGUGUAAUGAAGCUUCCAUAAGAAGAACCUAUGGAGAAAUCUGAUGAAAUUCUGGUACAAGUUUGAAAGCCGCUGCCACUUAGUUUCUUUUCAAUUUUACUCUGAUUGUGCUCCAGAUCUGACUUGGAUCAAAGUGUUGAUUAGUGGGUUGAGACUAAAAGGCUUUCAAUGAAUUAUGAAGUUAAGAAACAAAUGGUUGAUGGACAAAGAAAGCAAUUAAGGUCAACUGAAAAAGCUUGCCCUGAAGAGGACUGUAAACAGUCGUUGAUUGUUCAAUUUGCUGACCUUAAGAGACCCAAGCCAGGAGAAACGAGGUUAUUUCUUUGCUUUUAAUAAUAAUUUAGCUAGGUGAUGCCCUAUAUUCAUCAGUUUGACAACAUUACGUCAUUGUUGCCCCCAAAUUCGUGGCUUGGAUUGCACCCUGUUCCUGAUGAUAGACGUGAUGCAGCAAGAGCAGAAAACUCACUUAAUCGUUUGGGAGUGAAUUAAUCGAUUUCGCAGACCGCUGCAAAUGUUGUGCCUUCUGCUGCGAAUGUUGUACUGGUGGUUUCGGCUAAUGGUCAUCCUGAAGAGAGCUGGAAUCCUGUUGGAGAACAGAAGGUGGAUGCUAAUGGGGUCCAGCCUUCGGCUGAGGUACAAGCUACUACGCCGGAGGUCAAGGAGGCUGAAAACGCGAGUUCGGAGAGUCAGGUUAAGCAAGGUGACAUUCAUCUUUUCCCUGUUCCCGUCAAAACCCAAUUUGGUGAGAAGCUAGAGUUUCAAAUAAGUACCAGUGAUUCUAUUAUGGAUGUGAGGCAAUUCCUUCUUGAUGCUCCUGAGACGUGCUUUUUUACUUGUUACGACUUAUUGUUGCACACUAACGGCGGUUCCGCUCAUCAUUUAGAAGAUUACCAUGAAAUUCGUGAGGUGGCUGACAUCACCUCUGGAGGCUGUACUUUAGAAAUGAUUGCAGCGAUUUAUGAUGAGAGAUCUAUCAGGGCCCACGUUUACCGUACCCGAGAGUUGCUUUCUCUUUCAACACCGCACUCCUCGUUAUCAACAUCACUUGCAUUGCAACAUGAAAUGGGGCAGAAUGCAACUGCAAAUUCAGGAGAUCAAUCCAAAAAAACCGAGGUUUUGGAGCUCGAGAAUCUAGGAUUCAUGGAGGACGUUUCCGGUUCACUUUCAAACCUGUUGUCUCCUUCGAAAGAAAUCAAAUGUGUAGAAAGUAUCAUCUUUUCAUCAUUUAACCCUCCUCCAAGCUACAGAAGAUUUGUUAAUUGUUAUUUUGACUAUUUUACAUUUCUAAUGAUCUUAUUGUAGGCAUACAUUAUCAUUUCUUAUUUUUAUUCUUUUAAAUUACGUUCAGGCUGGGUACCUAAUUUAUCUGGAUGUGGUGACACUGAAAGGGAUCAAGUAUUGUAUAACCGGAACCACAACCACAUUUUACGUUAACUCAAGUUCCGGAAAUACCCUUGACCCGAAACCGACCAAGGCUGCUUCUGAAGCAACUACCCUUAUCGGGCUCUUGCAAAAGAUCAAUUCCAAAUUUAAGAAAGAUUUUCGUGAAAUGUUGGAACGAAAGGCAUCCACUCAUCCAUUUGAAAACAUUCAGUCAUUGUUGCCCCCAAAUUCGUGGCUUGGAUUGCACCCUGUUCCCGAUCAUAGACGUGAUGCAGCAAGAGCAAAAAAACUAACUUACUUUAUCGUUUGGGAGUGAAUUAAUCGGUAUGCAAAGAGACUGGAAUGAGGAACUACAAUCUUGUAGAGAGUUUCCUCAUGCAAGCCCUCAAAAAAGGCCUUAUGACUUACUUUCGUGAAGAGGUGGCAGCUUCAACUCUGUUAUUUAUAAAUGGGUUGGUUUCGAAUCUGUUUUAUCUCAUACGGGUUAAAUUGAAAACUUCAGCGAAAAGGGAGCGGGUCAAAUGAGAUAAAAGUCUCUUGAGUGUUAUUUAAAGAUUUAGAUUUUUAAAUAAUCCAAGUUUUUUAAUUGGACCAAAAGUGUUAGUAGGGCUUCCCACCCUUUUACGUUCAUUUGUGCAUAGGCUUUGGUGGGAAUAAACCAAGAGUUAGCAAGGUGGGUGCACCAUCCGGUUCACGAUCGUUCAGAACCGUAUGCGUCGAGUCUGACCCUGAUAACCCAUUUGGUUCCUUGGCUGCACUCCAGCAGAAUUGCUCGAUGGCGAUUUGAAAUCGUUAGGCGGUCUAUUCGAUGUUCUUAUGACAUGGCUAAGCGCCGCGGGGACGUAUCAGCAAACAUGCACAGACGGUAAUCAAGACAAUGUUGUAGGAUACCUUUAGAAAUCAAGCGACUUAAUAAGCAACAGCCUUGCAAUUAUCUAGGGGUUUUCACGUGUCACGAAUUCUAACAACCAAAGAAGAAGAUUGAUGAGCUUAGUUGAGCGAUGUGCACACUGUUUUGGGACGUCCAUGGAAAAACUAUUCGACCACAUUUUACCUUAACAACAUGAUGCCAAGCUUCAUUGAUCCUAAAGGAUGGUUUCCAUGGGUGGGAGCAUCAGCUCCCAACACCAUAUUCUAUCCAGAGUUUGCUAAUUAUGGUGCUGGUGCGGUCACAAAGGUUAGGGUUAUAUGGAAAGGACUCAAAUUUAUAGCUGCCAAACAAGCGAGCAAGUUCUCUGUUAUACCUUUUAUUCAGGGGGACAAGUGGCUUAAAGAUACUGAUGUGUCAUACAAAUCAGGACUUUGAUAACAAUCUCUCAAAUCUUUCUUUUAAAAUUUGAAUUUUCAUAAUUUUUAUGUUAUUCAGAUUCCUUAAUUUUGUAAGUUAUCAUCUCUACAUGUGCUGUGUUGUAUCCAAUGUUUGUGCGAAAGUUAACAUUGAUUUUGUGUUGA
RNA transcript from Helianthus annuus (common sunflower), 3181 nucleotides. It is a transcript of the gene named clustered mitochondria protein-like, with no coding region annotated. The transcript is spliced from 13 exons. NCBI's taxonomy places the organism in Eukaryota, Viridiplantae, Streptophyta, Magnoliopsida, Asterales, Asteraceae. The record is from RefSeq and is a predicted model, not a curated record.